GUAGGUGGCAAGCGUUGUCCGGGAAUUAUUGGGGCGUAAAGCGCGCGCAGGCGGUUCUUUAAGUCUGAUGUGAAAGCCCACGGGCUCAACCGUGGAGGGUCAUUGGAAACUGGAGAACUUGAGUACAGAAGAGGAAAGCGGAAUUCCACGUGUAGCGGUGAAAUGCGUAGAGAUGUGGAGGAACACCAGUGGCGAAGGCGGCUUUCUGGUCUGUAACUGACGCUGAGGCGCGAAAGCGUGGGGAGCAAACAGGAUUAGAUACCCUGGUAGUCCACGCCGUAAACGAUGAGCGCUAAGUGUUAGGGGGUUUCCGCCCCUUAGUGCUGCAGCUAACGCAUUAAGCACUCCGCCUGGGGAGUACGGCCGCAAAGGCUG
Molecule: ribosomal RNA, 375 nt
Filed under: uncultured organism
Description: partial 16S ribosomal RNA
Rfam family: Bacterial small subunit ribosomal RNA
Source: RNAcentral